Molecule: ribosomal RNA, 3633 nt
Filed under: Marasmius tenuissimus
Lineage: Eukaryota; Fungi; Basidiomycota; Agaricomycetes; Agaricales; Marasmiaceae
Description: large subunit ribosomal RNA
Rfam family: Bacterial large subunit ribosomal RNA
Source: RNAcentral
AAGAAUCGAUGACAAUAUUGUAUUAACAUCAAAGUAUUUUAAAGGGGUUAUUAAGGAUAACUAUCAAAUUUAUAUAAAAGGAGGGUAAAAAACCAAAAGCUUUCUAAAAUAUUAAUUAUUUUAAAAAUGGGAAAGCGAUCCUAAGGUAAACCUUAAUUAUUAAAUACUUCCUGAAGUAAAACAUUUUAUUAAGGAAAGGAAAGGAAAUCAACCGAGACUCCGAAAGUAAUGGUGAGUGAAAUCGGAUUAGCCUAAUUUAUUUUAUAAAUUGAAUUAAUAAAAAUCUUUAUUUUAUUAGAGUAGAAUGAUUCCUACUUUAUUAAAAUUUAUAUUUUUAUUAGCAUAUUAGUAUUUUUAUUAAUAUUGCUUCUAAAAUAGGUGAAAAUCUAAGUCCUGUAAAUUUAUUAAAUAUAAAUAUAAAUAUAAAAGUACGACGAGAGAUAACUUGUUGGAAUAUAGGGGAACCAUCCUCUAAGGCUAAGUAUUAUAAAUUUAGUGAUAGUGAACAAGUACUGUGAAGGAAAGUAAUUGAAAAAAAAUGUUGUAAACAAGAAAAUUUAAAAUUUUUAAUUAAAUUUUAAUAUGAAAUAAUUUGAAUUAGUAACUCUAUAAGCAGUCGAAAUUCUACUUUAAAAAGAUUAAUGAAUGACGGCGUACCUUUUGCAUAAUGGGUCAGCAAGUUAAUAAGAGUAGCAAGGUUAAAAGCCCUAGCGAAAGCGACUGGACUAUAUAUUAAUAUAGUGAUGGAUAAGUUACUUUUAUUAGACCCGAAGCCAGGUGAUCUUACCAAGACCAGAUUAUAAUGGAUCGAACGGGUGAAUGUUGCAUAAUUCUCCGAUGAGUUUUGGUAAGCGGUGAAAUGCCAAUCUGACCUGGUGCUAUCUGGUUUUCUACCGAAACAUAUUUAAGUAUGACAUCUACAAUAAAAGAUUUAUGGAGGUACAGAAAGGCAGCUCCCAACAAGAAUUAGGUAAAUGUGGAAUACCAAUUUUACAAUUACCUUUUUGGCGUUUAGGUUGCGGGGACGUAGAAAUCUUACCUUUGGAGGCGAAUCUCGGAAUUACAUAAAUUGAUAGUAGAUAUUCAGACUAUUCAUGCUAAGUUGAAUAGUCAAGACGGAAACAGCCGAGAACACAGAUCAAGGUCCCAAAUGAUUGUUAAGUGAAAUUAAGGACGUAGCAAAAUCGUAUACAGCUGUGAAGUGAGCCUGGUAGUCGCUACUUAUAAUGAUCGUACGUAACAACGCAUCAGCAGUUUAGAUUGUAGCGCCGAAAAUUUAACGGGUCUUAAACAAUCAACCGAUAUCGUGUUGGUAUUGAAUUAAAAAUAAAACAAGUAUUUUAAUUCUUUAUCUAGGUAGUAGAACAUUCAGUCAAUCUAUUGAAAAAAUAGUGUUUCAUUAUUUAUAUAGGCAACUGAAGAGAGAAUGCUGACAUGAGUAACGUAAAAGAAGUUAAUAAUACUUCUCGCCGAAAACGAAAGGGUUGCACUAAUUAGAUUAAAUCGUUGUGUGUGAAUGCGGCCUCUAAGGACCCUAACCAAAGUUAUGGCUGAUGAGUAAAUAAUAGAAAGUCCUUUUUUUAAGGACCAGGAAAUUAAUAUUAAUAAUAUUAUUAUAUUAAUAAAUAAAAAAGCAAAGAAUAUAUUUAUAUUAUUUUAUAUAAUUUAGAUAUAGUCUGAUUGUUAAUAUAAUUUUAUUUUACUACCGUACCCUAAACCGACACAGGUUCGUAGGUAGAGAAUACUAAGGCGUAGAGCUAAAAGUUGUUAAGGAACUCGGCAAGAUUACCUCAUAAGUUUGACGACAAGAGGUACCACUUAUAUAAUUUAUUAUAUAGGGCGGUGGCACAGAAUCGGAGGCCCCGACUGUUUACUAAAAACACAAUUCAGUGCAAUGAUGAAUAUCAUAGUAUACUGGAUGAAAUUUGCCCGAUGCCAUUAAUAUAAGAGAGGUCAUAGUAAAAUGUGACUAAUUGAAAGUCUGGUUAAUAGCGGUCUUAACCAUGAGGAUCCUAAGGUAGCAAAAUCAGUUGGCCAUUAAAUGUGGUCCGGUAUCAAUAGUGUAACGAUGGUCUCACUGUCUCUACAACUUGCUCAGUGAAAUUGAAUUACCCGUGAAGAUGCGGGUUAUCUUCAGAGGGACGGGAAGACCCUAUGCAGCUUCUACUGUAGUUAGUUAUCAUGUAAAUCUAGAACAGCCUUUUCCAAUAGUAAAUAGGGAUGUCGAUAGACUAAUUUUGGAAACCUUAUAGUUAAGGCUGGGUUUAUGUUUACCUUAUUUGUAUUCUAACGAACAAAAAGGGAGAGUUGACUAAUUGGCAGUUUGACUGGGGCGGUCGUCUUUAAUAUAGUAGCAAAGUACAUCCAAAUUUUUCCACAAAUAAUGGCUCAGCCAUAAAAUAAUUAAUCAAAUCAAAGCCUUAUUAGGCUUAAAAAUAUUUUUUUUAAAUUUUUAUAUGUUUUAAUUUCACAAAUAAUUUCUUGCUAUUGUAACAAAUACACAAAUACUAAGUAUUAUAUAAUAGCACGCUUUUUUUAAAUUUAAUAAAUUUAAUCAAAGAAAAGAAAUAAUUAAUUAAAAUUUUUAAUUAAGAAAAUAAAAAACCUAGUUGGCCUCCUUUUUUUAAAGUAAGUAGGAAAAUCAUAUGAUUUUAUCUCCCAUUUCUUCGAUAUUUUUAAUUAAAUGUAGAAGUUUAAUUAUUUUUUUGGCGCUUGUUCAAGAAAAUAGGGGGGAUGGAAAACUAGAAUUAAAAUUUUUCGUAACAAUACUUCAACUCUGCACUGCGGAAGAGUAUAAUUUAUAACACAUUUAUAAAUAAAAAUUACACACAAAUUAAUAAGUUGAAAAAAAAGAAAAUUUAAUUUUUAAUUUUUUCCAAAAAGUAUUAAAGGUAUAGCUAGGAAUUGUAUGGAGAACAAUCAACCAGUGAAGGGUUGCGCAGAGUUCAAUGGCGGAAAGCAUGCUUAACUGAAAGACCUAUAAGUCGCACAGAUACGUAAGUAGGGCAUAGUGACCCCUCGCUAUAGUAUGGAAUAGACGGGGAUCAAUAGAUAAAAGUUACGCUAGGGAUAACAGGCUGAUCACCGACGAGAGUACACAUUGUCUCGGUGGUUUGGCACCUCGAUGUCGACUCAUCCUAUCCUCCGGGGGAAGAAGCUUGGAAGGGUUCGGCUGUUCGCCGAUUAAAAGGGUACGCGAGUUGGGUUUAAUACGACGUGAGUCAGUAUGGUCCCUAUCUUCUGAAGAGAUAAUUAGUAAAAAGGGGCAGACCUUCUAGUACGAAAGGAUCAAUAGGCUGUGUUUCUCUAGUGUACCAAUUGUUUUUACUUUAUUAUAAGGGACUCAAUUUUAUUGAGGAAAAACCUUUUUAUUUUUUUAUUAUUCAUUUUUGUUUGAGCCUAAGAAAUUAGGUUAAAGAAUUUUAAUUGUUUAAAGGUAAUAAUUUAGGAACGCAUAGUUGGGUAGCCACAAACAUAAUAGAUAAGUGCUGAAUGUAUAUCAAGCAAGAAUCUAACCUCUAGAUACUAAAAAAACGGAUGUUAACUUUUUUAUUAUUAAUUUUAUUAACUAAAGAAUCAAAUAAAAAUAAUAGUUAUUAAGAGAGGGAAACUUUUCUUAUAAAAAAAAAAUGU